Molecule: ribosomal RNA, 856 nt
Filed under: Tricladium minutum
Lineage: Eukaryota; Fungi; Ascomycota; Leotiomycetes; Helotiales; Tricladiaceae
Description: eukaryotic LSU rRNA
Rfam family: Eukaryotic large subunit ribosomal RNA
Source: RNAcentral
GGGAUUACCUCAGUAACGGCGAGUGAAGCGGUAACAGCUCAAAUUUGAAAUCUGGCUCUUUUAGGGUCCGAGUUGUAAUUUGUAGAAGAUGCUUUGGGCAGCGCUCCGGUCUAAGUUCCUUGGAACAGGACGUCAUAGAGGGUGAGAAUCCCGUAUGUGACCGGUAGUAAUGUCCGUGUAAAGCUCUUUCAACGAGUCGAGUUGUUUGGGAAUGCAGCUCAAAAUGGGUGGUAUAUUUCAUCUAAAGCUAAAUAUUGGCCAGAGACCGAUAGCGCACAAGUAGAGUGAUCGAAAGAUGAAAAGCACUUUGGAAAGAGAGUUAAACAGUACGUGAAAUUGUUGAAAGGGAAGCGCUUGCAACCAGACUUGCGGGUCGUUGAUCAUCCGGGGUUCUCCCCGGUGCACUCGGCGGCUCUCAGGCCAGCAUCGGUUUGGGUGGUGGGAUAAAGGCCUUAGGAAUGUAGCUUCUCUCGGGGAGUGUUAUAGCCUAAGGUGCAAUGCUGCCUACCCGGACCGAGGACCGCGCUUCGGCUAGGAUGCUGGCGUAAUGGUUGUAAGCGGCCCGUCUUGAAACACGGACCAAGGAGUCUAACAUCUAUGCGAGUGUUUGGGUGUCAAACCCAUACGCGUAAUUAACGUGAACGGAGGUAAGAACCCUUAAGGGUGCAUUAUCGACCGAUCCUGAUGUCUUCGGAUGGAUUUGAGUAAGAGCAUAGCUGUUGGGACCCGAAAGAUGGUGAACUAUGCCUGAAUAGGGUGAAGCCAGAGGAAACUCUGGUGGAGGCUCGCAGCGGUUCUGACGUGCAAAUCGAUCGUCAAAUUUGGGUAUAGGGGCGAAAGACUAAUCGAACCAUUA